UGCAACUUGGUGGCCGCCAGCCGCGACCUUCUCCACUUCAAAGUGGAGUUAACGCCAAACUACUGAAAAUCUCUCCUAAAUGCGACAGUUUUUGAUCAAUGAGGCGUUGCUUUAUCUCUUGGCCAGGUUUGAGCUUUAUCCCUCCAACAUUUUCCGAGAAAAUCAAUGCUGAAAUGAUGAGAAUAGCUUUCAUAAUCCGAUCGGUGCCAAACUCAAAUUACAGUGCAGCAACUUCCACUGAGUGGCAGCCCACCGCGGUUCAAAACCAAGGGUUUCAGCAUAAGAGAAGGACCUUUCUCAUAUACGUAGUAAACCUAGAAAUGGAUAACUCGCUAAAAUGGUUUUUUUUCAACACAGUAAGCGGUAAGACAAGAAGCGAUGCACUGUGGAAGUAAAGUGGCAAUAUCCACAAUCACAUAAAUAAGGCUUUGUUGACAUUAGUACGUGACCAUAAAAACAGCCCGAAGGAAAUUGCAAUCACGAGUGAUUGAGUUGCCAUUAAUCGGAUCCUUGAGUUCUUGUACUUGAUCUUGACAUGAACAGUGCCAGUAUCAUUUAUCAUUUUCAAUCCUGAAUUACCAACAGGAAAAAAGAGUCUCCUGUCUGACUGGCUAGUCAAAAUUGGGCGACGAGCGAUCAACGUCUUCGCUCUGCUGCUCAAAGGUUCUAAAAAUAGUUAACUUUAUCUAAGAAUUAGAAAUAUUGUAUUCUUCUAUCUCGGUGCUAUAUCAACAACAAAGCAUAAUGAUUAUAUUGGUGUACACCAACA
Pocillopora verrucosa is the source of this 769-nucleotide long non-coding RNA. RefSeq lists it as uncharacterized. The record is from RefSeq and is a predicted model, not a curated record. Lineage: Eukaryota; Metazoa; Cnidaria; Anthozoa; Scleractinia; Pocilloporidae.